CACAUACACAGAAACACACAAUGCAUCCCUUACACACACACACACACACACACACACACACAAACACACACUGCUUCUCUUACACACACACAGAAACACAAUGCAUCUCUUACACACACACUCAAUGCACCCCUUACAGACACAUAAACUGCAUCCCUUACAUACACAGAAACACACCUUGCAUCCCUUACACAUACAAACACAGAUUCACACAAUGCAUCCCUUAAACACAACCACAAACACACAAUACAUCCCUUACACACAAUCACACACUACUUCCUAUCCCUUAUACAAAAACACACUGCAUCCACUACACACCCACACACACUGCAUCACCUAGAGAAACUGGUAUCCCUAUACACUACAUUCCAUAAGCACACACUUUAGAUUCUCUACACUAACACAUAACACAUUCACUACACACUCCACUCCCUAUGAGCGAACUCAUGGAUGGAACAUGUAGUUGGACUUAUU
Molecule: non-coding RNA, 474 nt
Organism: Pelobates cultripes (western spadefoot toad)
Lineage: Eukaryota; Metazoa; Chordata; Amphibia; Anura; Pelobatidae
Source: the annotation of a GenBank genome assembly